GAAAAUAUGGAACUGAAUAAAGAAACUGUUUUAUUUCUCUUCUGGUUGUUCUUUCCAACGUGAGCAAAAUGCAAUACAAGAGUAUCUCUUUAAAUAAAGCAAUGCGUAACAAAUAUAACAAAUUGACAGAAUAUCUGUAGAAGUUAUGCUCUUCCUAUUUUUGAGUAAUCCCUUUGAAUUUCUUGCUAUCUUUGACUAAUAUGGUUAGGAAGCACCUGGACUUGAAGUUGGUUUGGUGCAUUCCUCCAAAGAUGGCUGGAUUGGUUUGGAUCCGAUAUUCUUGACUGAUUUGCUGUUAU
This 299-nucleotide long non-coding RNA is filed under the name Phoenix dactylifera (date palm). Its description in RNAcentral is "long non-coding RNA (PDAC_LNC004575)". Lineage: Eukaryota; Viridiplantae; Streptophyta; Magnoliopsida; Arecales; Arecaceae. The record is from RNAcentral.